RNAcentral lists this ribosomal RNA (501 nucleotides) under uncultured bacterium. Its description in RNAcentral is "partial 16S ribosomal RNA". It matches the Rfam family "Bacterial small subunit ribosomal RNA", at positions 30 to 523 of the family's 1533-position model. The record is from RNAcentral.
AUUGAACGCUGGCGGCAGGCUUAACACAUGCAAGUCGAGCGGAGAUGAGGUGCUUGCACCUUAUCUUAGCGGCGGACGGGUGAGUAAUGCUUAGGAAUCUGCCUAUUAGUGGGGGACAACAUUCCGAAAGGAAUGCUAAUACCGCAUACGUCCUACGGGAGAAAGCAGGGGAUCUUCGGACCUUGCGCUAAUAGAUGAGCCUAAGUCGGAUUAGCUAGUUGGUGGGGUAAAGGCCUACCAAGGCGACGAUCUGUAGCGGGUCUGAGAGGAUGAUCCGCCACCCUGAGACUGAGACACGGCCCAGACUCCUACGGGAGGCAGCAGUGGGGAAUAUUGGGCAAUGGGGGGAACCCUGAUCCAGCCAUGCCGCGUGUGUGAAGAAGGCCUUAUGGUUGUAAAGCACUUUAAGCGAGGAGGAGGCUACUGAGACUAAUACUCUUGGAUAGUGGACGUUACUCGCAGAAUAAGCACCGGCUAACUCUGUGCCAGCCGCCGCAGUAA